RNAcentral lists this ribosomal RNA (485 nucleotides) under uncultured bacterium. RNAcentral describes it as "bacterial SSU rRNA". It matches the Rfam family "Bacterial small subunit ribosomal RNA", at positions 8 to 507 of the family's 1533-position model. The record is from RNAcentral.
AGAGUUUGAUCAUGGCUCAGAAUGAACGUUGGCGGCGUGGAUUAGGCAUGCGAGUCGUGCGAGAACCGUAGCAAUACGGGGACAGCGGCGAAAGGGAGAGGAACACGUGGAUACUACCCUCAGGUUCAGGAUAGCUAUGGGAAACUAUAGGUAAUACUGAAUAAUAUCUCCGGAUCAAAGGUGUGAUUCCGCCGGAGGAGGGGUCCGCGUCCUAUUAGCUAGUUGGUGAGGUAAUGGCUCACCAAGGCGAAGAUGGGUACGGGAUGUGAGAGCAUGAUCCCGCUCAUUGGGACUGAGACACUGCCCAGACACCUACGGGUGGCUGCAGUCGAGAAUCUUCGGCAAUGGGGGAAACCCUGACCGAGCGACGCCGCGUGUGAGAUGAAGGCCUUCGGGUUGUAAAUCACUGUCGUAGAGGAGGAAGUGUAGGUGGGUUCUCCCACUUAUUUGACCUAUUCUAGGAGGAAGGACGGGCUAAGUUCGUG